AAAACGCCUCUCCCUGCAAAACCCGUGCCUCAAGUGGCUGCCUCCUCCCAGAUCAGAAAGCCCAGCAAGCCUUUAUCGACCCCACUGGACUCUUCUAGGGAGGACAGGAUCAAUAAUUUCCUGAUAAAGUAAGAAGAAAAACAGGAUAAAAGCAACCUAAGAGAACUCUAGUGAAGACCGCUGACCACACUGUUUUAACUGGCAUUUCAACUUCUUGAUCUUCUUAAAGUGUUGGCAAAAUAAAAGAAAUCAUCAAAUGAUAGCA
RNAcentral lists this long non-coding RNA (265 nucleotides) under Rattus norvegicus (Norway rat). RNAcentral describes it as "long non-coding RNA NONRATT009889". Lineage: Eukaryota; Metazoa; Chordata; Mammalia; Rodentia; Muridae. The record is from RNAcentral.